This 371-nucleotide ribosomal RNA is filed under the name uncultured organism. Its description in RNAcentral is "bacterial SSU rRNA". It matches the Rfam family "Bacterial small subunit ribosomal RNA", at positions 526 to 896 of the family's 1533-position model. The record is from RNAcentral.
CAUGUGGGGCAAGCGUUGUUCGGAAUUACUGGGCAUAAAGGGUGCGUAGGCGGCUUGUUAAGUCAGGGGUGAAAUCCCGCGGCCCAACCGUGGAACUGCCUUUGAUACUGGCGAGCUUGAGUGCGUGAGGGGUAACCGGAACGAGUAGUGUAGCGGUGAAAUGCGUAGAUAUUACUCGGAAGGCCAAAGGCGAAGGCAGGUUACUGGUACGCAACUGACGCUGAGGCACGAAAGCGUGGGGAGCAAACAGGAUUAGAUACCCUGGUAGUCCACGCCGUAAACGAUGAGCACUAGAUUGGUGGCACGCUACGUGUUGCCAGUCGUAGAAAAUUUAAUAAGUGCUCCGCCUGGGGAGUAUGGUCGCAAGGCUG